RNAcentral lists this ribosomal RNA (253 nucleotides) under uncultured bacterium. RNAcentral describes it as "partial 16S ribosomal RNA". It matches the Rfam family "Bacterial small subunit ribosomal RNA", at positions 524 to 776 of the family's 1533-position model. The record is from RNAcentral.
GACGGAGGGUGCUAGCGUUGUUCGGAAUUACUGGGCGUAAAGGGCGCGUAGGCGGCCCUGUCAGUCGGGUGUGAAAGCCCGGGGCUCAACCCCGGAACGGCACCCGAGACGGCGGGGCUGGAGACCGGGAGAGGAGGGUGGAAUAGCCAGUGUAGAGGUGAAAUUCGUAGAUAUUGGCUGGAACACCGGUGGCGAAGGCGGGUCUCUGGGCCGAUACUGACGCUGAGGAGCGAAAGCGUGGGGAGCGAACAGG